Molecule: non-coding RNA, 725 nt
Organism: Lactuca sativa (garden lettuce)
Lineage: Eukaryota; Viridiplantae; Streptophyta; Magnoliopsida; Asterales; Asteraceae
Source: RefSeq, a predicted model, not a curated record
CGUGAGAUGCUUGAGAAGAAAUACCAACUUGGAUUGUCAGACAUGAAAGUUCAUAGGGCGAAAACGAAAGCCCUGGAAUCAAUUAGGGGAGAUUUUGCUGCUCAGUACUCAUGUCUAAGAGACUACUUACAGGAGGUGCAGAGUAGAAAUCCAAACACCACAGUCAAACUUCAAGUGCAAAGUGAACCAUGUUAUGCAUCUGAGACCAGGGUAUUUGAACGAGUAUACAUUUGUCUUGGUCCACUGAAAAGUGGAUUUGCAGCAGGGAAAAGAGAUUUACUAGGGCUUGAUGGUGCAUUCAUGAAGGGUCCAUACCAUGGUAUGAUCCUGACAGCAGUGAUGGGAACAAUUGCACAUACCCUUUGGCAUAUGCAGUUGUUGAAGCAGAGAACUUUAAUUCAUGGACCUGGUUUUUAACUAACUUAGGAGAUGAUCUUGGUUUGUAUGCAAACUCCAACUUCACUUUCAUAUCAGAUAGACAGAAGGGGUUAUUGCCUGCACUUGAGAAACUUUUCCCAGCAGCAGAGCAUAGAUAUUGCCUAAGGCAUCUUCAUGAGAACAUGAAACGUAAAUGGAGGGGCAAGGAAUUCAAGGAUUGUCUUUGGAAAUGUGCAACAUGUACCACCAUACCACAAUUCAACAGUGCCAUGGAAGAACUAAAGAAACUUAACAGUGAAGCAUAUGACUGGCUUAAUUCUAUUCCACCUAAGCACUGGUCCAGAUCC